Non-coding RNA from Pelobates cultripes (western spadefoot toad), 218 nucleotides. NCBI's taxonomy places the organism in Eukaryota, Metazoa, Chordata, Amphibia, Anura, Pelobatidae. The record is from the annotation of a GenBank genome assembly.
GACACAUUUGUGCCAGGGUCAGGGCGCCAUCUGCGUAGUACGCCAUUAGUUGGCUGGCCUGCAUAAUUAGCAGGCAGUCUGACAAGGAUUCACGCCAUGCAGCAAAUCCUUUCUGGGCUGUUACAUGAUUCAAGUCUGUGGCCCAUCCUUUUACCCCACCCAACAAUGUCCUGCUUCACCAGAAGCUGCUGUUAGGUUGUAUGGAUGUGCUUGACAGG